GGGGGACGGGGGCGUGGGGGGGGGGGGGGGGGGGGGGGGGGGGGGGGGGGGGGGGGGGGGGCAAGCAGUUAAUCGUGGACUCAUCAGGCCUUGGCUGCCUGGUAGGUGAGCAAAAUCAGGAGCUAAAGGAGGCCCGGAAGGGAAAGCCAGGGGUUCUGGGCAAAGCAGAAAGCCAGGCGUGUCACAGUCAGUGAUGAGAGGGUGCGAGGGCAGCAGCACUGGGGUUUGGGAACCAGAGCCAGAGUCACAGGGCCCAGCAUUGGCUGCAGGCGCUCUAGGCACAGGGUGCUGGGGGGCAGGUGAGCUGGGCGGGGCUUCCAGAAAGCUAGGGCCUCACUUGGCUCAGAGUGAACAAGUCAGAAGGUAGCUCUGGUCUGUUUGAUGAGGCCGCAUGAUAAGACCAGCAUAGGUCCAUGUGUAGUAAGGUAGGUGGGCAGACCAUGGUUCUAAGUGCAGGGUGCUGGGGGCAGUGGUGUGCUCUGGGCACCACAGGAGCACUAGGAGCAGGCCCUCUAUGGGACAGGGAUAUUGGGGCAGGUGCACUGGCCAACCCACUAAGAGCAGAUCACGAGGCCAAGACUUUGCCCACCCAGGUUAAAGGCAGGUGCCAAAUGAGGCCAAGCACAAACAUCAGGUUGGAAAGCCAAUGCAUAACAGUAGUUGUGUAAGGGAGGUAUGCACAGACCCAGUGGGAUCUGUAGGGCAUGUAAGGCUUUGGGCCAGGGAAUUAAGGGUGAGGGGUGCCAUGGCAGUUAACCAAGCAUCGCUUGGGCCAUCCCUCAAAACUCAGUGGAUGAGUCCAGGAACAAAAUGAGGUCUGCCAGGUCUGGCCAGGUGUGAGGCCAAACCACAAAGCCUGUGUGUAAGCUGAAGUCGGUAAGGGUCAGGGCUUAAGAGAUCGCUCAUCACAGGGACAGGGACCUUACAAGGUCCCUGAGGCCAGGAUCUUGGGCCAGGCAGGUAAGCGAGGACUACAUAAACCAAAAUGUUAAACUGGAUGAGUGAAGAUCAGACCUGAGUGUGUAGAUCUAGUGCAUAAAACCAUGACGCAGGCCAAAGCAUAAAGCCAAAGUGGCAUAUGGGAGGUUGGUAAGGCAGCCAGGGUAGUGGCCAGUCUGGGAGGGGACAGUGUGCCAGGGCACCCUCAGGACAAGGGGACUCCAGCAUGAUGUAUAGGAGCAGCUGGAGGAGGCCAGGUGCCUUAGGUCAGGCACUUCACCAUGAAAUAAUGAGGUGAAGGUUUGAGUGAGGUGAGCAUAUUCAAGGGCCAAAGAAGCUCUGGUGCCUAACAUGAAGCCAGGUGUUUAAAGGAAGGUAGGUAAGGCAUGGCUCUGAGGGCAGGAGGAGCUCAGAGAAGGGCCAAUUUGGACAUGGUGCUGGAGGAAGAGGGCAUGUACAGGUGGUUUGGCCCAGGGUCAACACCCACAGUCAUUAGGCUUGGAUCAUUUAGGCUGAGUCCUUAAUGAAUAGGGUCAGGAAGAAAGUAAACCUGGUAGCUAAAGCUAGGUUUUAGGUUAAAAACCUCAAGGUAAGGCUGGAUGGAUAAAGUUAGCAGGGAAAGUCCAGGUAGUAAGGGGAUGGGCAAAGCUGUGUGGGUAAAACUCGAGUCCAGCUGAGUCAGGACAGGAGGGUGAUGAGGUCAGGUGGGUGUGGGUAGCAGGUCAAGGCUCAAUCCAUAGGAAGGCGGGAGUAAGCAGUCAGGAGUUACAGCCAGGUAGUUCCAGGACAGUGAGUUCAGGCCGUCAUGGCUGGAGCUUGAGAGAUGUGAGUGAAACCUAAGCAGUCACAGCUCAGAGCAGCGUGUCCUCUGCCCAGCUCCCUCGCGUUAACCUUCGGUCUCCCCCAGUUGUCCUGACACAGGAAGAGCUCCCAGCAGAGCACAGGAUGUACUCCAGGUCCCCUUAGUGCCCUCUGUGUCAUCCCCUUCACGGUCCAGUGGAGUGAGGCGGGACACAGCCACCUCACUGGGGCUGCAGCAGCGGUCAGGACGGCUCCCCUUCUCACCUGCUCGCUUGUUCAGAGUCAAGGUCACGCUGUCCCCAGGUCUUCAGGAGUCACUGAUGCUCCUGGCUCUCUGGGGCGAGCCUCACUUUGUAACUUGCGCAGGGUGGCUCUCAGGAGUGAGGUCGCCAGGGACUUCCUUGUGUACAGUGCUCCAUCACCGCUAGAAGGAAUGGAGGAAGAGACUUGGGAAAAUGCUCAGGGCCAGGGUCUGCAGGUGGAGGCCUCGGCUACCUGUGGUGGAAAAUGGCUUUCUCUUGGUCGUGGAGAGGGGCUGGGGUGGGGGCUGCGCCUCUGCCAGCAGCAGCAGGGCCCAGAGGAAGACGGGGUGGCUCAGGGUCUGCUUUCUGCCCAUGCUGAAUCCCACCUCAGUGGAACUCCAGCAGCACGGGCCCUGUGACAGAAGGACAGGGGCUGGGAUGUGGGCCACUCAAAUGGCCCACGACAGAGAAAUCAUGGAAGUCCUCUUUGGUGAUCAAAAAUAGAGUGAAUGCUGCUGCUGCGAGCCACCCAGUGGAAAGGCAGACUGGAACAUGAUGGUGUGUCCUCGUCCACCUUGUCCACCAGAUCGGGCAACAUGUGACACUGGCUCUUCCCAAAGACAAAACGACCGUGAAAGAAACAUUUUGAAUCCAUCCAGGACAUGGAGGCAGCCAUGGCUGCACAGCUAAAGGCACUCACAGAAGAGGAUUCCAGAAGUGCUUCAGACAGCGGCAAGAGUGAUGUCAAGUGAGGACUGUGGGGGGCAGUGGUCAUGUGCCUUUUACUGUAACGCAGUUUUAAAUUGAAGCAUUCACCAUAGUUUGUCACACCUCACAUCCUCAUGUUUAUAAUCCGCACCAUGUCAUUCCCCACCAAGAUCCCUUUGUUCUACAUACCAACACAGGCAGUGCAACAGGAACGCAAAUUGCUUUCUGCCAGCUGGAAAGCUCCUGGCAUCCUGAGGCCCAGUGCCCAUGCUGCACCAUCCACCUGUGCGUGGGAACCUUCAUCCCCAGUGCCCUCACCUCACAUGUCCAGUUGCAGGGCCAGUUGGCCCCAGAUGUUGCUCAGCUCACAUCCUAUCAUCUCCAUGCUCAGGUCCAGCUAUGAUGCGAACCUGGCAACCCCAAGCCAAGAAAUCUCAUGAGCGUAUCAGAGACCACUCCGGGAGCCACUGUCCCUUUGCUUUGCUUUGGGAGGGGAGACGUCCCUCCUGGCUCAGGGGCUGUGUCUCAGGCCGCCCCAGCUUGGCCCCCAGCACAACCCUCUCUUUAGAAGUUUCUCUUCUUCAUCUCACCCACAUGCUCCUUGAAGUCCUUGGGUCACCUGCCCAGGAGAGGCCAACCUGACCUCAGGAAAGUCUCCUAGGGGAUGUCAAGUCCAGCGGUAGUUGAAAACGAUAGGGCCCAAGAAGUAAAGGCAGCUGGUUGGCAAUGAAAUAAGAGAAUAGCCAGACAUGGUGGCAAAUCCACAGACAAGCACCAGUCUUGACAGUAGCCAGGCAGGGCAGCACACACUUGUGAUCCCAGCAUUCUGGGAGGCUGAGCAGGAGGAUCAUAAAUUCAAGCCUUGCC
RNAcentral lists this long non-coding RNA (3557 nucleotides) under Heterocephalus glaber (naked mole-rat). RNAcentral's name for it is "lncRNA (ENSHGLG00000033350.1)". Lineage: Eukaryota; Metazoa; Chordata; Mammalia; Rodentia; Bathyergidae. The record is from RNAcentral.